This 192-nucleotide ribosomal RNA is filed under the name uncultured soil bacterium. RNAcentral describes it as "partial 16S ribosomal RNA". It matches the Rfam family "Bacterial small subunit ribosomal RNA", at positions 26 to 226 of the family's 1533-position model. The record is from RNAcentral.
AGCCUGAACGCUGGCGGCGUGGCUAAGACAUGCAAGUCGCACGGGGUAGCAAUACCCAGUGGCGAACGGGAGAGUAAUGAAUCGCUAACGUACCCCGGACUCCGGGAUAGCUGCCCGAAAGGGCAGGUAAUACCGGAUGACAUAACCCCUUGGCAUCUUGGGGUUCUCAAAGGUCCACUAGCAAUAGUGGAU